ACUCUGAAAGAAGGUAAUAACUCACCUCACUGGAAUGAUCGACUAGAAUUCUUCCCCGAUGAGCUGGAGUAUGUUCUUUGAAAGGGAUGCCUAAAUCCAGGCGUGGGUUUGUUGUGGCGAAGACGUCACAGGGAAUAUGGUAUAAAAGAAAACAAAAACUACAGACAACGAUGACAACGAACCUGAUCCUCCUUAUUGAGGGCGUUCACAUCUGACCACUUGUCAAUCAAAAGCUUGGCAAUGUCAUCGCGACCUGCUGCGGCUGCGCAGUGAAGUGGUGUGUUACCAUGGUGAUCCACGGCUUUAACGUCAGCACCUCGUCUGACAAGUACAUCAGCAGUUCCGAAGGUCCAGCUGAGGAUAGACAUAAAUAAAUUAUUACCACAGUAUUACCAUCAUAAAUAAAUGUUUACCACAUGAUUACCAUCAUUAAUAAAUGAUUACCACAGGAUUACCAUUAUAAAUAAAUGUUUAGCACACGAUAACCAUAAUAAAUAAAUGAUUAGCACAGGAUUACCAUCAUAAAUAAAUAAUUACCACAUGAUUGUCAUCAUAAAUAAAUGAUGACUACAUGAUUACCGUCAUAAAUAAAUGAUGACCACAUGAUUACCAUCAUAAAUAAAUAAUGACCACAGGGUUACCAUCAUAAAUAAAUGAUGACCACAUGAUUACCAUCAUAAAUGAAUGAUUACCACAGGAUUACCAUAAUAAAUAAAUGAUGACCACAUGAUUACCAUCAUAAAUGAAUGAUUACCACAGGAUUACCAUAAUAAAUAAAUGAUGACCACAGGAUUACCAUCAUAAAUAAAUGAUUACCAAAGGAUUACCAUCAUAAAUAAACGAUGACCACAGGAUAACCAUAAUAAAUAAAUAAUUACCAAAGGAUUACCAUCAUAAAUAAAUGAUUACCACAGGAUAACCAUCAUAAAUAAAUAAUGACCAGAUGAUAACCAUCAUAAAUAAAUGAUUACCAAAGAAUAACCAUCAUAAAUAAAUGAUUAACACAGGAUUACCAUCAUAAAUAAAUUAUUACAACAGGAUAACCAUAAUAAAUAAAUAAUGACCAGAUGAUAACCAUCAUAAAUAAAUGAUUACCACAUA
Molecule: long non-coding RNA, 1101 nt
Organism: Nematostella vectensis (starlet sea anemone)
Lineage: Eukaryota; Metazoa; Cnidaria; Anthozoa; Actiniaria; Edwardsiidae
Exons: 2
Source: RefSeq, a predicted model, not a curated record